AUUGAACGCUGGCGGCAUGCCUUACACAUGCAAGUCGAACGGUAACGGGCCUUCGGGUGCCGACGAGUGGCGAACGGGUGAGUAAUACAUCGGAACGUGCCCGAUCGUGGGGGAUAACGAGGCGAAAGCUUUGCUAAUACCGCAUACGAUCUACGGAUGAAAGCAGGGGACCGCAAGGCCUUGCGCGGACGGAGCGGCCGAUGGCAGAUUAGGUAGUUGGUGGGGUAAAAGCUUACCAAGCCGACGAUCUGUAGCUGGUCUGAGAGGAUGAUCAGCCACACUGGGACUGAGACACGGCCCAGACUCCUACGGGAGGCAGCAGUGAGGAAUUUUGGACAAUGGGCGCAAGCCUCAUCCAGCCAUGCCGCGUGCAGGAUGAAGGCCUUCGGGUUGUAAACUGCUUUUGUACGGAACGAAAAGCCUUCUUUUAAUACAGGAGGGUCAUGACGGUACCGUAAGAAUAAGCACCGGCUAACUACGUG
This 482-nucleotide ribosomal RNA is filed under the name uncultured bacterium. Its description in RNAcentral is "partial 16S ribosomal RNA". It matches the Rfam family "Bacterial small subunit ribosomal RNA", at positions 30 to 507 of the family's 1533-position model. The record is from RNAcentral.